GGGCCGGGCACGACGGAAAAGUUACCCCGGGGAUAACAGAGUCGUCGCGGGCGAGAGCUCCUAUCGACCCCGCGGUUUGCUUCAUCGAUGUCGGCUUUUCCCAUCCUGGGAGUGCAGCAGCUUCCAAGGGUGGGGCUGCCCGCCCAUUAAAGGGGAACGUGAGCUGGGUUCAGACCGUCGUGAGACAGGUCGGUCUCUACCCGCAGGAGGUGUUGGCCGUCUGAGGGGGAGGUACCCCUAGUACGAGAGGAACGGGGUGCCGCGGCCUCUAGUCUACCGGUUGUCUUGGCAGGCAAUGCCGGGCAGCCACGCCGUAAGGGGUUACCGCUGAAAGCAUCUAAGCGGGAACCCUGACCCAAAAAGAGACGGCCAUCUGCUCUCUGGCGAAAGCUGGAGGGCAGCGAGGGCACCCGUAAAACACGGGUUUGAUGGGGUGGGGGUGUAAGACACGAGGGCGUAAGCUCGAGUGUUUCAGCCCGCCACUCCCAAUAGCCCAAGGCCGCAGGAUA
This 509-nucleotide ribosomal RNA is filed under the name Caldisphaera sp. RNAcentral's name for it is "partial 23S ribosomal RNA". It matches the Rfam family "Archaeal large subunit ribosomal RNA", at positions 2511 to 2987 of the family's 2987-position model. Lineage: Archaea; Thermoproteati; Thermoproteota; Thermoprotei; Acidilobales; Acidilobaceae. The record is from RNAcentral.